GAACGCUAGCUACAGGCUUAACACAUGCAAGUCGAGGGGCAGCAUGGUCUUAGCUUGCUAAGGCCGAUGGCGACCGGCGCACGGGUGAGUAACACGUAUCCAACCUGCCGUCUACUCUUGGACAGCCUUCUGAAAGGAAGAUUAAUACAAGAUGGCAUCAUGAGUCCGCAUGUUCACAUGAUUAAAGGUAUUCCGGUAGACGAUGGGGAUGCGUUCCAUUAGAUAGUAGGCGGGGUAACGGCCCACCUAGUCUUCGAUGGAUAGGGGUUCUGAGAGGAAGGUCCCCCACAUUGGAACUGAGACACGGUCCAAACUCCUACGGGAGGCAGCAGUGAGGAAUAUUGGUCAAUGGGCGAGAGCCUGAACCAGCCAAGUAGCGUGAAGGAUGACUGCCCUAUGGGUUGUAAACUUCUUUUAUAAAGGAAUAAAGUCGGGUAUGGAUACCCGUUUGCAUGUACUUUAUGAAUAAGGAUCGGCUAACUCCGUGCCAGCAGCCGCGGUAAUACGGAGGAUCCGAGCGUUAUCCGGAUUUAUUGGGUUUAAAGGGAGCGUAGAUGGAUGUUUAAGUCAGUUGUGAAAGUUUGCGGCUCAACCGUAAAAUUGCAGUUGAUACUGGAUACCUUGAGUGCAGUUGAGGCAGGCGGAAUUCGUGGUGUAGCGGUGAAAUGCUUAGAUAUCACGUAGAACUCCGAUUGCGAAGGCAGCCUGCUAAGCUGCAACUGACAUUGAGGCUCGAAAGUGUGGGUAUCAAGCAGGAUUAGAUACCCUGGUAGUCCACACGGUAAACGAUGAAUACUCGCUGUUUGCGAUAUACAGCAAGCGGCCAAGCGAAAGCGUUAAGUAUUCCACCUGGGGAGUACGCCGGCAACGGUGAAACUCAAAGGAAUUGACGGGGGCCCGCACAAGCGGAGGAACAUGUGGUUUAAUUCGAUGAUACGCGAGGAACCUUACCCGGGCUUAAAUUGCAGAUGAAUUACGGUGAAAGCCGUAAGCCGCAAGGCAUCUGUGAAGGUGCUGCAUGGUUGUCGUCAGCUCGUGCCGUGAGGUGUCGGGUUAAGUGCCAUAACGAGCGCAACCCUUGUUGUCAGUUACUAACAGGUUCCGAUGAGGACUCUGACAAGACUGCCAUCGUAAGAUGUGAGGAAGGUGGGGAUGACGUCAAAUCAGCACGGCCCUUACGUCCGGGGCUACACACGUGUUACAAUGGGGGGUACAGAGGGCCGCUACCACGCGAGUGGAUGCCAAUCCCCAAAACCUCUGUCAGUUCGGACUGGAGUCUGCAACCCGACUCCACGAAGCUGGAUUCGCUAGUAAUCGCGCAUCAGCCACGGCGCGGUGAAUACGUUCCCGGGCCUUGUACACACCGCCCGUCAAGCCAUGGGAGCCGGGGGUACCUGAAGUGCGUAACCGCGAGGAGCGCCCUAGGGUAAAACUGGUG
This 1438-nucleotide ribosomal RNA is filed under the name uncultured organism. RNAcentral describes it as "SSU rRNA". It matches the Rfam family "Bacterial small subunit ribosomal RNA". The record is from RNAcentral.